UCUGAGCUUUGAUCAACGCUCUGACUGAUAUUUGGAUAGUGACCCGUAAAUUAUUUUCUUUAUUUUAUAUUUUUCAAAUUAGAAAAAAUACAUAGGUCCGGACCUGUGUCCUCCAUAUGUACACUGAUCAAAAAUGUAAACGCAACAUCCAACAAUUUCAAAGAUUUUACAGAGUUACAGUUAAUAUAACGAAAUCUGUCGAUUGACAUAAAUUCAUUAGGCCCUAAUCUAUGGAUUUCACAUGACUGCGAAGACAGAUGUGGAACUGUUUGUCACAGAUACAUAUAAAACAAAGGUAGGGGUGUGGAUAAGAACCAGUCAGUAUCUGUUGUGAACACCAUUUGCCUCAUGCAGCACGACAUCGCCUUCUUAUAGACUUGAUCAGGCUGUAGAUUGUGAAACAUGCUGUCAUACAUGUCAAUCCAGAGCAUCCUAAACAUGCUCAAUGGGUGACAUGUCUGGUGAGUAUGCAGGCCAUGGAAGAACUGGGACAUUUUCAGCUUCCAGGAACUGUGUAGAGAUCCUUGAGAAACGUGGCUGUGAAAUAUCAUGCUAAAACAUGAGGUAAUGGUGGUGGAUGAAUGGCACGACAAUGGGCCUCAGGAUCUCGUCGCGGUAUCUCUGUGUAUUCAAAUUACCAUCGAUUAAAAUGCAAUUGUGUUUGUUGUCAGUAGCUUAUGCCUGCACGCACAUACCAUAACCCCACUGCCACCGUGGGGCACACUGUUCACAACGUUGACAUCAGAAAACCGCUUGCCCACGUGACGCCAUACGUGCUGUCUGCCAUCUGCCCAGUUCAGUUGAAACCGGGAUAUGUCUGUGAAGUGCACACUUCUCCAGCGUGCCACUGGCCAUUGAAGGUGAGCAUUUGCAGCAGGAAGGUGAGUGCCGUCUGGUAGCCAUGACUGCGGUAGAUGGAACUGCAUUAACCCCCUGAAGUUGGACGCCAAACUGCAGUCAUGGCAAGAAUAUGGUGAUGACGAAGAGCAGUGGAGGUUUUCUUCAGUUGUGCAAACCCACAGUUUCAUCAGCUGUCUGGGUGGCUGGUCUUAGAUGAUCCUGCAGGUGAAGAAGCCGGGUGUGGAGGUCCUGGACUGGCGUGGUUACACGUGGUCUGUGUUUUGUGAAGCCGUUUAGUACACCCAGUAAAAUACUACUUGAAUACAAAUAUUUGUGGGGGGGGAGAGAGCUCCGACUGGGGAAAAAUCGCUUUGAAGCAGCAUACAACUCGGAAUUCCAAGAUGGAAACAAUGGCAUCUUUCUAGUUUUCCGACUUGAAGAUCACUGACGUCAUGUUUUUUUCCCGACGUCCCAGUUGUCUUGAAAGCACCAACUGCCUGAUUGUUGACUGAUGACAUUAGUGGUAACUGAUACACAAAUCAAUGUUGAUAUCUAUUAUAUUGACUGUCAUGUGACAUGUCUAACAAAGAGAUGGUCAGAUGAUGCUGUAUCUGUCCCUCCCUGUGACCAUGUUCUGGAUCUCCAACCAAGCAGAGUACUUUGAAGAAUAUAUUGUGAAGAGGAAGGUUAGUGUUGUCUUAUCUUGAUUUGAUUGGUUGAUUUGAUUCAUUUAUUUUAUUUCAUUUUUAAAAGUACAUAGAACUAAGGUUGCUUCAGCCGGAGACAACAGUUGCUAAAUGCAUAACUAUUGUUGAGGCUAAUACACAAUAAAGCCCAACGGGUUGUUAGGCUCUGAUUCAUUCUUUCAGUGCUUUAAACAUUGUUUAGGCUACACAUUAUUAGAUUGUGUAGACAGUCUGAAAAUGUAGACAGUACUGUCUGACAAACUAAAGCAAAUUCUGACAUUUUGUGUAUGACCAUGUCAUAAGUCGUUUUUAUCUGAUGUUCAUUAAUGUUAAACUUUCCUUUCCUCUUUCAUGGUGAUCUCGUCUACAACCUUCAGAGGGAGAUUUUCCCACCUGAUGAGAAGAUGCAUAGGAAAGAGCUGGAAUACUUCAAAGAGCGGAUGCGAGACCGGAAGGAGCGGCAGCUACUGAAACGGAUGGCCUUGAAUGAGGCUGAGAAGGAGUGAGGAGGACAGUUCAGAGAGGCAAUCAGAGUAGGACGAUGCCCAAUCAGAAGACUUGCUGUUCCACAGGAGCGGGAGCAGUCUCACUGUCAGGCCUGUGGACUGGAACAUGUGCCCUCUCACAAAAGGCACCUUAUUACCUAUUUAGUAUACUACUUUGACCAUGGCCCAUAGGGCUAUGGUAAAACGUAGUGCACUUUAUAGGAAAAAGGGUGCCAUUUGGGGUUGGAGGAUUUUGGAUGUCGUGGAGCAUGUAGGCUAUACUAUACACCCUUUGAGAGGGUGUUCUGGAGGGGGACCUUAAAGUUACCCCUUUGAACUGAAGUCUCACUGAAAAGCUUUUUAUGAAAUGCUUUAUUUCACUGCAGUCAAACCAUGACUUGACUGUUGAUGAUCUGCUCUGUGAUGGUUUUGAUGUAAACCUUGUGUGUGUGUGAAUGAAAUAUGAGGACAGAAUCAUAUGGCUUGGAAUGUUAUUUAUUUUUUAUGAUUUAGAAUACGUCUUUUGUAAAUGGUUGUUUCAACUCUG
Molecule: long non-coding RNA, 2558 nt
Filed under: Salmo salar (Atlantic salmon)
Lineage: Eukaryota; Metazoa; Chordata; Actinopteri; Salmoniformes; Salmonidae
Description: lncRNA (ENSSSAG00000102974.1, ENSSSAG00000105093.1)
Source: RNAcentral